GAUAGCUCAAUGGUGGAGCACUCGGCUGUUAACCGAUAGGCUGGAGGUUCGAGUCCUCUU
This 60-nucleotide transfer RNA is filed under the name Clostridium perfringens. It matches the Rfam family "tRNA", at positions 7 to 64 of the family's 71-position model. From Rfam's summary of the family: Transfer RNA (tRNA) molecules are approximately 80 nucleotides in length. RNAcentral also lists the same sequence under 1 other name. Lineage: Bacteria; Bacillati; Bacillota; Clostridia; Eubacteriales; Clostridiaceae. The record is from RNAcentral.